AGAGUUUGAUCAUGGCUCAGAACGAACGCUGGCGGCGUGCCUAACACAUGCAAGUCGAACGGAGCAGGAGUAGCAAUACUUCUGUUUAGUGGCGCACGGGUGAGUAACACGUAGGCAACCUACCCUUGGGAGGGGGACAACCUCGGGAAACCGAGGCUAAUACCCCAUAAGACCACGGAUUGGAAUAUCUGUGGAAAAAGUGGAAACACGCCUGGGGAUGGGCCUGCGGCCUAUCAGGUAGUUGGCGGGGUAAAGGCCCACCAAGCCUAAGACGGGUAGCCGGUCUGAGAGGAUGAACGGCCACACUGGAACUGAGACACGGUCCAGACUCCUACGGGAGGCAGCAGUGGGGAAUCUUGCGCAAUGGGGGAAACCCUGACGCAGCGACGCCGCGUGGAGGAAGAAGGCCUUCGGGUUGUAAACUCCUUUUGUCGGGGAAAAUAGUGAUGGUACCCGGCGAAUAAGCCACGGCUAACUCUGUGCCAGCAGCCGCGGUAAGACAGAGGUGGCAAGCGUUGUUCGGAAUCACUGGGCUUAAAGGGCGUGUAGGCGGUGGGACAAGUCCGGGGUGGAAUACUAUGGCUCAACCAUAGAAUUGCCUUGGAAACUGUUUCACUUGGGUCAGUGAGAGGAGGGCAGAAUUCCUGGUGUAGCAGUGAAAUGCGUAGAUAUCAGGAGGAAGGCCGGUGGCGAAAGCGGCCCUCUGGCGCUUGACUGACGCUGAGGCGCGAAAGCGUGGGGAGCAAACAGGAUUAGAUACCCUAGUAGUCC
Molecule: ribosomal RNA, 771 nt
Filed under: uncultured bacterium
Lineage: Bacteria
Description: bacterial SSU rRNA
Rfam family: Bacterial small subunit ribosomal RNA
Source: RNAcentral